RNAcentral lists this ribosomal RNA (353 nucleotides) under uncultured Spirochaetaceae bacterium. RNAcentral describes it as "bacterial SSU rRNA". It matches the Rfam family "Bacterial small subunit ribosomal RNA", at positions 1029 to 1382 of the family's 1533-position model. The record is from RNAcentral. Lineage: Bacteria; Pseudomonadati; Spirochaetota; Spirochaetia; Spirochaetales; Spirochaetaceae.
AGAACACAGGUGCUGCAUGGCUGUCGUCAGCUCGUGUCGUGAGAUGUUGGGUUAAGUCCGCAACGAGCGCAACCCCUAUCAAUAGUUGCUCCCGGGUAAUGCCGGGCACUCGAUUGAAACUGCCGUUAGAAAACGGAGGAAGGUGGGGAUGACGUCAAAUCAUCAUGCUCUUUAUGUCUAGGGCUACACACGUGCUACAAUGACCGGUACAAAGGGCGGCAAGACCGCGAGGUGGAGCAAAUCCCAAAAAGCCGGCCAUAGUUCGGAUUGCAGUCUGAAACUCGACUGCAUGAAGCUGGAAUCACUAGUAAUCGCUGAUCAGCAACGCAGCGGUGAAUACGUUCCCGGGCCUU